Non-coding RNA from Styela clava, 785 nucleotides. The record is from RefSeq and is a predicted model, not a curated record. Lineage: Eukaryota; Metazoa; Chordata; Ascidiacea; Stolidobranchia; Styelidae.
UUUUUAUCUGAUUACAGGCUAUGCAAAGGUAGAAGAUAUUGUUACUGCUGAUGGUCGUGUGACGAUUGAUCGGUGUAAGUGAACAGAAUGCAUACGAAUACAAGAUGAGAUUUUGAAGUAACAAGAGAGCAAUGCACAACUAUAUGGAAACGCAAUUUGCCCGUAGUUUCUCUGAAAAUCAUCAUGUAAGAGUCUCGCGAUAUCUGCAGUUGAUUUGCCCGGAACAGCGAAUCAAGGAGAGAUCAAUCUUACAAGUCGGGAUAAAGUACGUUCUGAGGUAUUAGAAGAAGAUAUUCGUCUCAAAUCAAGCAGACGUAGAAUUGCAGUUUUAUCUUGAUAGCGAGUGUUUUAGAAUUGUACAAUCUGUAUUUUCAUUUUUAAUUGAAUUGAGCAAACCGGUACGCAUGGCCCACGUUGUCAUCUGCCGUGGGGUGAAUAUCUGGAUCGGCAAGCGCCGACUUAAAACCCGGUUACAGAGUGAUAGACUGCCAUCUAAAAAAACGAGUAACCCUUUUUAAUUGGGACCCGCAAUAGGGGGCAUGCCUGAUUUGUGUUUAGUUGAACUGAAAUGGUAUGCGACUAUUAAUUGAACUGAAAAAUGGUAUUUGAAACUUUGCGCUUGCGCUGAGUAAAUCCAAAUCUCGCUUACUCUGUUUAUGCCCUGUCACAAAGUUCGUUCUGUGCCGGUAUCUUAGCAGAUUGUGUCAUUUUAACAUAAUUUAGGCACUUGUAUUAUAUAUUGAGAUAUUAUUUUGAAUUAAAGCGUAUUUAAUAAAUAUAACGGA